GAGUUUGAUCCUGGCUCAGGACGAACGCUGGCGGCGUGCCUAACACAUGCAAGUCGAACGGGGAUAUUGAUUUCGGUUGAUAUCCCAGUGGCGAACGGGUGAGUAACGCGUGAGCAACCUGACCUUUUGAGGGGGAUAACACCUGGAAACAAGUGCUAAUACCGCAUAAGACCACGGAGCGGCAUCGUUCAGGGGUCAAAGGAGGAAUCCGCAGAAGGAGGGGCUCGCGUCCCAUUAGAUAGUAGGCGGGGUAACGGCCCACCUAGUCGACGAUGGGUAGCCGAGCUGAGAGGCUGAUCGGCCACACUGGAACUGAGACACGGUCCAGACUCCUACGGGAGGCAGCAGUGGGGAAUAUUGGGCAAUGGGCGCAAGCCUGACCCAGCAACGCCGCGUGAGGGAAGAAGGCUUUCGGAUUGUAAACCUCUGUCGCAGGGGACGAAGGAAGUGACGGUACCCAAGAAGAAAGCCCCGGCUAACUACGUGCCAGCCGCCGCGGUAAUUC
Molecule: ribosomal RNA, 505 nt
Filed under: uncultured bacterium
Lineage: Bacteria
Description: bacterial SSU rRNA
Rfam family: Bacterial small subunit ribosomal RNA
Source: RNAcentral